GACGAACGCUGGCGGCGUGCCUAAUACAUGCAAGUUGAGCGCUGCAGGUUGGUACUUGUGCCCACUGGAUGAGCAGCGAACGGGUGAGUAACGAGUGGGGAAUCUGCCUUUGAGCGGCGUACACCAUUUGGAAACGAAUGCCAAUACAGCAUAAAAACAUUAAACACAAGCUUUAAUAUUGAAAGAUGCAAUUGCAUCACUCAACGAUGAUACCGCGUUGUAUUAGGUAGGUGGUGAGGUAAAGGCUCACCAAGGCGAUGGAUUCUAGCCGAACUGAGAGGGUGGUCGGCCACCUUGGGACCGAGACACGGCCCAAACUCCUUCCGGAGGCCGCCGUAAGGAAUCUUCGCCCAUGGACGGAAGUCUGACUGAGCAACCCCGCGUGAGUUAAGAAGGUUUUUGGAUCCUAAAACUCUGUUUGUAGAGAAGAACGGUGGUGGGAGUGGAAAGCUCACCAAGUGACGGUAACUACCCAGAAAGGGACGGCUAACUACGUG
RNAcentral lists this ribosomal RNA (497 nucleotides) under uncultured bacterium. RNAcentral's name for it is "partial 16S ribosomal RNA". It matches the Rfam family "Bacterial small subunit ribosomal RNA", at positions 28 to 507 of the family's 1533-position model. The record is from RNAcentral.